RNAcentral lists this long non-coding RNA (205 nucleotides) under Lathyrus oleraceus (garden pea). RNAcentral describes it as "Pisum sativum (pea) long non-coding RNA (PSAT_LNC025204)". The record is from RNAcentral. Lineage: Eukaryota; Viridiplantae; Streptophyta; Magnoliopsida; Fabales; Fabaceae.
GUUUUAUCAUUUGUAUGGUUGUCAUCCCUUGUGUGGAUUGACCUAAAAUCCCUUAUAGAUUGAUAAAAGUUGAUAUGCUUUAAGUUGGAAAUAUUCCUUGUCUCAACUGUCUACUCACGAGGAAGGUUGUUUUUCCCCAACCUUAGUAAGAAUCUCUAGCGGAGUAAGCAUGUGUUCCCUGUAGAGCCACCUUUCCAGAUAAUUG